CUCCUGGAGUGUCUCUUUGUGAUUCCAGCCUCAGAAAGGACCCUCCCAGGAGCAGAAGGAAGCGGCAGGGUGCCAUGGAGGAGCAGAGCGCGGGCCUGGCUAAGCGGCUGGCGCACAUGCUCUCGCGGCCUGCUGGAAUGCAUGUGCUUUGCCGGCGUCAUCUUCAGCUGGGCCUCAUUGGUGUACGUGCUCAAGGACAUGCACUACUUCGAGGAGCGUGUGUGUGCCAGUGGCUAACGGACGGGCAAUGCACGCGGGGCCCAGACUGCCGGGUACAGGAUGAGCAGCUGUCACUCUCUUCACCAUCGGUCCUUCAUGAACAACUUCAUGACCUUCCCCACCGGCUACAUCUUUGACCGCUUUGGCACCAUGCCGGCCCGCUUGCUGGCCAUAUCCCUCUACACUGGCGGAUGCUGCUUAUUGUCUUCUCCACAGCAGGUGAGGCCUCUGCCUGUGGGAGCGAUGGGACAGGACACCUCCUGAUGGGGCCUGGGCUGGGUUAAGGCACAAAGCGGCAGGGCUCUGCCCCUCAUGGCCCACUGGGGAGACCCAGCCCUUCUGUGCAGAAGCACCCCCACUGGGCGGGAACUCUGCCUCUUGCUUGUGACUUGGGUGCAGCUCUGCUCCUGCUGGGCAGAGAGAGCCCGUCCUGAUCCACCACGGCUUGGAGACCCUCCGGCGAGUGUGGCUGG
This is a non-coding RNA of Chelonoidis abingdonii (Abingdon island giant tortoise), 692 nucleotides long. Lineage: Eukaryota; Metazoa; Chordata; Testudines; Testudinidae. The record is from RefSeq and is a predicted model, not a curated record.